CAACGAAUAUUCCGCAAUGGGCGAAAGCCUGACGGAGCGACGCCGCGUGGAGGAUGAAGUCCCUCGGGAUGUAAACUUCAAUAGUAUGCCAGGAAGCGAAUCGACCUAAUACGUCGGUGAGUUGACCAUCAUAUGACAGGGGCGGCUAACUCCGUGCCAGCAGCCGCGGUAAGACGGAGGCCCCGAGCGUUGUUCGGAAUCACUGGGCUUAAAGCGCGUGUAGGCGGAACGGUAAGUACCUUGUGAAAUCCCCGGCUUCAACCCGGGAACUGCUCGGUAUACUAUCGUUCUUGAGGCAAGUAGGGGUUACUGGAACCUUAGGUGGAGCGGUGAAAUGCGUAGAUAUCUAAGGGAACGCCAGGGGCGAAAGCGGGUAACUGGGCUUGUCCUGACGCUGAGACGCGAAAGCGUAGGGAGCAAACGGG
RNAcentral lists this ribosomal RNA (425 nucleotides) under uncultured bacterium. RNAcentral describes it as "bacterial SSU rRNA". It matches the Rfam family "Bacterial small subunit ribosomal RNA", at positions 355 to 776 of the family's 1533-position model. The record is from RNAcentral.